AGGACGAACGCUGGCGGCGUGCUUAACACAUGCAAGUCGAACGGUGAACCACUUCGGUGGGGAUCAGUGGCGAACGGGUGAGUAACACGUGGGCAACCUGCCCCUAGCUCUGGGAUAACCUCGGGAAACCGAGGCUAAUACCGGAUAUGACUCCGAGCGGCAUCGCUUGGAGUGGAAAGUUUUUCGGCUAGGGAUGGGCCCGCGGCCUAUCAGCUUGUUGGUGGGGUAAUGGCCUACCAAGGCGACGACGGGUA
This 254-nucleotide ribosomal RNA is filed under the name uncultured soil bacterium. RNAcentral's name for it is "partial 16S ribosomal RNA". It matches the Rfam family "Bacterial small subunit ribosomal RNA", at positions 26 to 285 of the family's 1533-position model. The record is from RNAcentral.